Molecule: ribosomal RNA, 506 nt
Filed under: uncultured bacterium
Lineage: Bacteria
Description: partial 16S ribosomal RNA
Rfam family: Bacterial small subunit ribosomal RNA
Source: RNAcentral
GAUGAACGCUAGCGGCAGGCCUAACACAUGCAAGUCGAGGGGUAACUAGAGUGAUAGCAAUAUUACUUUGGCUAGACCGGCGCACGGGUGCGUAACACGUAUGCAACCUACCUUAUACUGGGGAAUAACUUCGAGAAAUCGGCGCUAAUACCCCAUAACAUUGCGAAGAGGCAUCUCUUUGCAAUUAAAGCUCCGGCGGUAUAAGAUGGGCAUGCGUCCAAUUAGCUAGUUGGUGAGGUAACGGCUCACCAAGGCUACGAUUGGUAGGGGUUCUGAGAGGAUGAUCCGCCACACGGGUACUGAGACACGGACCAGACGCCUACGGGAGGCAGCAGUGAGGAAUAUUGCGCAAUGGACGAAAGUCUGACGCAGCCAUGCCGCGUGCAGGAUGACGGCCCUAUGGGUUGUAAACUGCUUUUGUACGGGAAUAAACCCUUCUACGUGUAGGAGGCUGAAGGUACCGUAAGAAUAAGCACCGGCUAACUCCGUGCCAGCAGCCGCAGUAA